This 1003-nucleotide long non-coding RNA is filed under the name Canis lupus familiaris (dog). RNAcentral's name for it is "lncRNA (ENSCAFG00000052171.1)". Lineage: Eukaryota; Metazoa; Chordata; Mammalia; Carnivora; Canidae. The record is from RNAcentral.
AAAACAAGAGCGAGAGAAAAAGAACUGAGCCUCGGAUUUUCAGGAACUGCAGUCCGAGUUCCCGGCCGAGCACCUUGGCUGCCGGGGGCCCCCCUCCUCCCUGGGGACACAGCUGUGAGCGAUCUGAGCCCGGGGACCCCAGGAGAACUGUGGGGGAGCUCCCCGCGCGGAAAUCCCCAGGGCUCGCAGGCAGGGCCCAGAGCGCGUCUCAGGUGAAAGCCGCUUCGCCCACGGGCUCCGCCGGCUGUAAGAAUCCCCGGCCCUCCCGGCCCUCCCCGGCCCUCCCAGUGACGACACCGGCCUCCCCUCCUCUGGGAGCAGGACGUGCCCAGCGCCCUCCCCACUUCCCCUCAGGAAGUCACAGGGGGCCGCAUACUUGGGGCACGUCCCUGCAUGUCCGGCUCCAAGAACAAAGCUCUAGCAAGCCAGUUAGCGAGCAGCUUCCCUGGGAGCUUCACCUCGGUCUCCUCUGAUGGCUGCCGGUCCCGGGCCAGGAGGUCCGGUGAGACGGGGGCCGCCGGCCGUCAUCCAGGAGAGUCCGUCACACUGGCCUCUUCUGUCCGCAUUCGGGGCGUCUCCGGGUACCUGCACACAGGUGACCGCGGCCACAAGGGAAUAUAGGAAAUUAGAUGACUUAAAGCCAAUGGAGCAGAGUUGGCGGCGCCCGCUCGUCGUUGUUUCCCUGGCUUGGCACAGGCGCGGGCGUCGGCCCGGUUCAGGCGACCAGCCCGCAGGACACGAUCCCUGAACACCUGUACCUAAGGGAAGUGUCCCUGCCGUCGCCUGUGUGUCGCCUUUCUUAGGGCUGAAGAGCCAGAUGCGUCCUAACAAAACUAGGAGAGAAGUCGGGUUGCUCGUGGAAAGGCGUUUCUACGUCUGCUAAUCUUCACCGUCUCCACAAUUUCUCAGAUUUUAAGGUAAGGAACCGAGUGGCUCUAGAAUCGUCGGCCUCAGAGAUGUCCCUGGGCUUUCCCCAUCAUCUUGGGACUGGCCGCUUUGCGAC